UUCCGACCUAAAAAGUUCGAAUUCUGGAUAUUUUGGCUAAGUCCUGAGAGUUUCACUCUCGGGGACCGGUCCCUGGUGGGAGAGACCGGUCCCCCUGGCUGAGGUUUGGUUGUUGCGUAAUGCAACCAGUCCCUUGGCUUGAGGGACCGGUUCUCGUAUACGUGUUUUGCUAGAGGGCCCUAAGGGACCGAUCCCUGAGGGGAGAGACCGGUCCCCUAACCCGAAAACUGCCCAGACCCGGGCAGUGCACUGUUUUGAUUCUUGAGGGGCCUAAGAGGAUUUUGUUGCUGUAGAGGGCUUUUAGAGCCAUUUCCCCUCUCUCUUUCCCUCACUUCUCACUCUCUCACACCUCUAGAAAGAGAAGAAGAAGAAGAGGAAGAAGAAGGAGGAGAGGAAGAGCUUGCUUGAGGGAGCUUGGAGCAUCAACCCUUUCUCUCUUUCUUCACCAUUGGAGGCUUGGAGCUUGGACUUGGAGCUUUGUGGAGGAUCAAACUCCAAUCCUUGAGGGUUUUGAGCUUGGUUUGGAGCAUCCUAGAGGUAUGUGGCUAGUUUCUCUCCUCUAGAUCCUAGUUUUGGAGCUUUUUACUAGAUGAAACCCUAGAUUUGGAUUUUAGGGUUUAUUUUGGGGAUUUUCGAUUUGAGGGCUUUGAGACCUAAUUGAUGGGUUUAGAACCUUGGUUUAGGUUGGAUUUGAAGGACUCUAACUCCCAUUUGGAGAUCGAGAGAGCUUCCUUCACACUUGGUGAGUUUUUCUCCACCUUAGCUUGAGAUGGUUAAUGAUUGAGCUUUGUAUUGUUCGUAAGGUCCGUUUGACUCUUGUUCCUACAUCUUUAGGGUGCUAGGAGACUAGUGGGCAUCUUCGUCGGAGCUUACGAAGAGUUGCAAGAGUUGUGGUGGGUUUGACUACAUGAAAAUGGGGCAAAAUGACCCCUAUGCAUUUUGUACUUGUCGUAAUCUCAAUUUGACAUCAAAUCCAUGCUAAAUAGAAUUUAUGUGAAUUUUA
RNAcentral lists this long non-coding RNA (1003 nucleotides) under Ananas comosus (pineapple). Its description in RNAcentral is "long non-coding RNA (ACOM_LNC042231)". Lineage: Eukaryota; Viridiplantae; Streptophyta; Magnoliopsida; Poales; Bromeliaceae. The record is from RNAcentral.